AACGAACGCUUGGCGGGCAGGCCUAACACAUGCAAGUCGAGCGCUGUAGCAAUACAGAGCGGGCGCACGGGAGAAGUAACGCGUGGGAACCUACCUUUUGGUUCGGGAUAAACACCGGGAAACUGGUGCUAAUACCGGAUAAGUCCUUCGGGGGAAAGAUUUAUUGCCGAAAGAUGGGCCCGCGUUGGAUUAGCUAGUUGGUGAGGUAAUGGCUCACCAAGGCUACGAUCCAUAGCUGGUCUGAGAGGAUGAUCAGCCUCACUGGGACUGAGACACGGCCCAGACUCCCACGGGAGGCAGCAGUGGGGAAUAUUGGACAAUGGGGGAAACCCUGAUCCAGCCAUGCCGCGUGAAUGAUGAAGGCCUUCGGGUUGUAAAGUUCUUUUGACAGGGACGAUGAUGACGGUAAACCUGUAGAAUAAGCUCCGGCUAACUUCGUGCCAGCAGCCGCGGUAAUACGAAAGGGAGCUAGCGUUGUUCGGAAUUACUGGGCGUAAAGGGCGCGUAGGCGGUUCGACAAGUUGGAUGUGAAAGCCCAGGGCUCAACCCUGGAAUUGCAUUCAAGACUGUCUUACUUGAAUUCGGUAGAGGUUGGUAGAAUUCCCAGUGUAGAGGUGAAAUUCGUAGAAGAUUGGGAAGAAUACCCGUGGCGAAGGCGGCCAACUGGACCGACAUUGACCGCUGAGGCGCGAAAGCGUGGGGAGCAAACAGGUUUAGAUACCCUGGUAGUCCACGCCGUAAACGAUGCCUGCUAAGAACGUUGGAAAGAACUUAAGUCCUUCUUGUGUCGCGAGCUAACGCAUUAAGCAUGCCGCCUGGAGACGCACGGCCGCAAGGUUGAAAUCUCAAAUGAUAUUUGACGGGGGCCCGCGACAAGCGGUGGAGUAUGUGGUUUAAUUCGACGCAACGCGAAGAACCUUACCAACCUUUGACAUGUCCAGUAUGGGUCUAGGAGACUAGACUCUUCAGUUCGGCUGGCUGGAACACAGGUGCUGCAUGGCUGUCGUCAGCUCGUGUCGUGAGAUGUUGGGUUAAGUCCCGCAACGAGCGCAACCCUCAUCUUCAGUUGCCCCCAGGUUAUGCUGGGCACUCUGAAGAAA
Molecule: ribosomal RNA, 1100 nt
Filed under: uncultured bacterium
Lineage: Bacteria
Description: bacterial SSU rRNA
Rfam family: Bacterial small subunit ribosomal RNA
Source: RNAcentral